This 301-nucleotide ribosomal RNA is filed under the name uncultured bacterium. Its description in RNAcentral is "partial 16S ribosomal RNA". It matches the Rfam family "Bacterial small subunit ribosomal RNA", at positions 509 to 807 of the family's 1533-position model. The record is from RNAcentral.
CAGCAGCCGCGGUAAUACGUAGGUGGCAAGCGUUGUCCGGAAUUAUUGGGCGUAAAGGGCUCGCAGGCGGCUUCUUAAGUCUGAUGUGAAAGCCCCCGGCUCAACCGGGGAGGGUCAUUGGAAACUGGGAAACUUGAGUGCAGAAGAGGAGAGUGGAAUUCCACGUGUAGCGGUGAAAUGCGUAGAGAUGCGGAGGAACACCAGUGGCGAAGGCGACUCUCUGGUCUGUAACUGACGCUGAGGAGCGAAAGCGUGGGGAGCGAACAGGAUUAGAUACCCCCGUAGUCCCUGUCUCUUAUAC